Molecule: non-coding RNA, 632 nt
Organism: Cervus elaphus (red deer)
Lineage: Eukaryota; Metazoa; Chordata; Mammalia; Artiodactyla; Cervidae
Source: the annotation of a RefSeq genome assembly
CACUGAACUCUCAGCUUGAGGCAGAACUCAGCACAUCUGUGCAGAGGAAUCCAUGCCUCAUGCCGCUCUCCUGUCUGCUCUGGGUGUUCCUGGCCUUCACAUUCUCUGGAUCUGGUGUGACCCAGAAAGUUACUCAACUCCAGCCAAAUGUAUCCAGACAAGUGGGGCAGUCAGUCACCCUGAACUGUCGGUAUGAAAUAAGUUGGACCGCUUACUACCUUUAUUGGUACAAGCAGCUUCCCAGUGGACAGAUGGCUUACGUUAUUCAUCAGGAUUCAUUAGUCUCAAAUGCAAGGAAAGACCGCUACUCUGUAAACUUUAAGAAAGCAGACAAAUCCAUCAGCCUCACCAUUUCAGCCUUACAACUGGAAGACUCUGCAAAGUACUUCUGUGCUCUCUCUGAACUCACAGUGCUUGAAGUAAUAGGAAAAGCUGUACAAAAACUCCAGAGCUUAGUAAGAGAGAGCCCCCCUUUUGCAAGACCCCAGCUGAAGGGCACACCCACAGGCCCCAGACAAGAAAUGAUAGUCCUGUGGUUAUUUAAGUUGUGGUCUGGAUCAGAAGAUCUAGUUCUAGUUAAAGGCACCUUCUAUGUUAUUUGGAAACAGGUGUACAGAGUAACUUUCUACUAA